This 255-nucleotide ribosomal RNA is filed under the name uncultured bacterium. Its description in RNAcentral is "partial 16S ribosomal RNA". It matches the Rfam family "Bacterial small subunit ribosomal RNA", at positions 524 to 776 of the family's 1533-position model. The record is from RNAcentral.
UACGUAGGGUGCAAGCGUUGUCCGGAAUUAUUGGGCGUAAAGAGCUCGUAGGCGGUCUGUCGCGUCGGCUGUGAAAACCCGGGGCUCAACCCCGGGCCUGCAGUCGAUACGGGCAGACUAGAGUGUGGUAGGGGAGACUGGAAUUCCUGGUGUAGCGGUGAAAUGCGCAGAUAUCAGGAGGAACACCGGUGGCGAAGGCGGGUCUCUGGGCCAUAACUGACGCUGAGGAGCGAAAAGCGUGGGGGAGCGAACAGG